AUGCACGCUGGCGGCGUGCCUAAUACCUGCAAGUCGAGCGCACGGACGAGAAGCUUGCUUCUCUGAUGUUAGCGGCGGACGGGUGAGUAACACGUGGAUAACCUACCUAUAAGACUGGGAUAACUUCGGGAAACCGGAGCUAAUACCGGAUAAUAUUAUGAACCGCAUGGUUCAAAAGUGAAAGACGGUCUUGCUGUCACUUAUAGAUGGAUCCGCGCUGCAUUAGCUAGUUGGUAAGGUAACGGCUUACCAAGGCAACGAUGCAUAGCCGACCUGAGAGGGUGAUCGGCCACACUGGAACUGAGACACGGUCCAGACUCCUACGGGAGGCAGCAGUAGGGAAUCUUCCGCAAUGGGCGAAAGCCUGACGGAGCAACGCCGCGUGAGUGAUGAAGGUCUUCGGAUCGUAAAACUCUGUUAUUAGGGAAGAACAUAUGUGUAAGUAACUGUGCACAUCUUGACGGUACCUAAUCAGAAAGCCACGGCUAACUACGUG
Molecule: ribosomal RNA, 496 nt
Filed under: uncultured bacterium
Lineage: Bacteria
Description: partial 16S ribosomal RNA
Rfam family: Bacterial small subunit ribosomal RNA
Source: RNAcentral